GACGAGCGCUGGCGGCGUGCUUAACACAUGCAAGUCGAACGGAAAGGCCCUGCUCUUGUGGGGUGCUCGAGUGGCGAACGGGUGAGUAACACGUGAGUAACCUGCCCUUGACUUUGGGAUAACUUCAGGAAACUGGGGCUCAUACCGGAUAGGAGCUCCUGCUGCAUGGUGGGGGUUGGAAAGUUUCGGCGGUUGGGGAUGGACUCGCGGCUUAUCAGCUUGUUGGUGGGGUAGUGGCUUACCAAGGCUUUGACGGGUAGCCGGCCUGAGAGGGUGACCGGCCACAUAGGGACUGAGAGACGGCCCAGACUCCUACGGGAGGCAGCAGUGGGGAAUAUUGCACAAUGGGCGGAAGCCUGAGGCAGCAACGCCGCGUGCGGGAUGACGGCCUUCGGGUUGUAAACCGCUUUCGCCUGUGACGAAGCGUGAGUGACGGUAAUGGAUAAAGAAGCACCGGCUAACUACGUG
RNAcentral lists this ribosomal RNA (468 nucleotides) under uncultured bacterium. RNAcentral's name for it is "partial 16S ribosomal RNA". It matches the Rfam family "Bacterial small subunit ribosomal RNA", at positions 28 to 507 of the family's 1533-position model. The record is from RNAcentral.